AACAUCCUAAGGCCAAAACCCUCUUAAUAUCUUCAAUAUUACACUUUAAUGCUAAGCUAUUAAGAUA
This 67-nucleotide transfer RNA is filed under the name Cautires sp. UPOL 000081. Its description in RNAcentral is "tRNA-Phe". Lineage: Eukaryota; Metazoa; Arthropoda; Insecta; Coleoptera; Lycidae. The record is from RNAcentral.